GGUUCGAUUCUGGCUCAGAUUGAACGCUGGCGGGAUGCUUUACACAUGCAAGUCGAACGGCAGCACGGACUUCGGUCUGGUGGCGAGUGGCGAACGGGUGAGAAGUGUAUCGAACGUGCCUAGUAGCGGGGAUAACUACGCGAAAGGUAGCCAAUACCGCAUACCCUUCGGGGGAAAGCGGGGGACCUUCGGGCCUCGCACUAUUAGAGCGGCCGAUAUUGUUGACGAUUAGCUUAAGUUGGUGGGGUAACGGCUCACCAAGGCGACGAUCCGUAGCUGGUUUGAGAGGACGACCAGCCACACUGGGACUGGAGACACGGCCCAGACUCCUACGGGAGGCAGCAGUGGGGAAUUUUGGACAAUGGGGGAAACCCCUGAUCCAGCCAUCCCGCGUGUGCGAUGGGUACCCUUCGGGUUGUAAAGCACUUUUGGCAGGAAAGAAACGGCACGGGAUAACAGCCCGUGCAACUGACGGUACCUGCAGAAUAAGCACCGGCUAACUACGUGCCAGCAGCCGCGGUAAUACGUAGGGUGCAAGCGUUAAUCGGAAUUACUGGGCGUAAGCGUGCGCAGGCGGUUCGGAAAGAAAGAUGUGAACCCCAGAGCUUAACUUUGGAACUGUGCAUUUUUAACUACCGAGCUAGAGUGUGUCAGAGGGAGGUGGAAUUCCGCGUAGCAGUGAAAUGCGUAGAUAUGCGGAGGAACACCGAUGGCGAAGGCAGCCCCGGGGAUAACACUGACGCUCAUGCACGAAAGCGUGGGGAGCAAACAGAUUUUCAGAUGGUUCUGGUAGUCCACGCCCUAAACGAUGUCAACUAGCUGUUGGGGCCUUCGGGCCCCUGGUAGCGCAGCUAACGGCGAAGCGACCGCCUGGGGAGUACGGUCGCAAGAUUAAACCCAAAGGAAUUGACGGGGACCCGCACAAGCGGUGGAUGAUGUGGAUUACACCUGGAUGCAACGCGAAAAACCUACCUACCCUUGACAUGUCUGGAAUCCCGUCGCGAGAUUUGGGAGUGCUCGCAAGAGAACCGGAACACAGGUGCUGCAUGGCUGUCGUCAGCUCGUGUCGAGAUGUCAAGGUUGUCCUCAACGAGCGGCAACCUCUUGUCAUUAGUUGCUACGAAAGGGCACUCUAAUGAGACUGCCGGUGACAAACUUCGAGGAAGGUGGGGAGAUGACGUCAAGUCCUCGUCUCGGUGGUAGCUCACACGUCAUACAAUGGUCGGGACAGAGGGUCGCUAACCCGCGAGGGGGAGCCAAUCCCAGAAACCCGAUCGUAGUCCGGAUCGCAGUCUGCAACUCGGACCAGUGAAGUCGGAAUCGCUAGCACCUGCGGAUCAGCAUGUCGCGGUGAAUACGUUCCCGGGUCUUGCACACACCGCCCGUCACACCAUGGAGUGGGUUUUACCAGAAGUAGUUAGCCUAACCGUAAGGAGGGCGAUUACCACGGUAGGAUUCAUGACUGGGGGUGAAGUCGUAACAUGUAG
Molecule: ribosomal RNA, 1487 nt
Filed under: uncultured Bordetella sp.
Lineage: Bacteria; Pseudomonadati; Pseudomonadota; Betaproteobacteria; Burkholderiales; Alcaligenaceae
Description: partial 16S-23S ribosomal RNA intergenic spacer
Rfam family: Bacterial small subunit ribosomal RNA
Source: RNAcentral